UUCCCUNAGACGCNGGCGGCNUNCNUAACACAUGCCAGUCUGACGAGAAAGUCCCCUUCGGGGGGUGAGUAAAGUGGCGCACGGGUGAGUAACACGUGGGUAACCUACCUAUAUGUCUGGGAUAACAUCUCGAAAGGGGUGCUAAUACCGGAUAAGCCCACGAAGCGGGAGCUUCGCGGGAAAAGAUGGCCUCUGAUUCAAGCUAUCGCGUGUAGAUGGGCCCACGGCCUAUCAGCUAGUUGGUGGGGUAAUGGCCCACCAAGGCUGCGACGGGUAGCCGGCCUGAGAGGGUGAACGGCCACACUGGAACUGAGACACGGUCCAGACUCCUACGGGAGGCAGCAGUGGGGAAUAUUGCGCAAUGGGCGAAAGCCUGACGCACAACGCCGCGUGAGGGAUGAAGGCCUUCNGGUUGUAAACUUCUUUUAAUCGGGAAAACCUCCUUGAUCAAAUANAAAUAGGACUGACGGUNCCAUUAAUAACCACGGUUACUCUGGCCACCACCCCGGUAAACAAAGUNGCAACCUUUUUCNAUUAUUGGCUAAAAACCCCUAGCCGCUUUUAAUCNNGUAAAUCCCGGCUUANCCC
This 588-nucleotide ribosomal RNA is filed under the name uncultured bacterium. RNAcentral describes it as "partial 16S ribosomal RNA". The stretch from base 15 to 523 matches the Rfam family "Bacterial small subunit ribosomal RNA", at positions 38 to 536 of the family's 1533-position model. The record is from RNAcentral.